GACGAACGCUGGCGGCGUGCUUAACACAUGCAAGUCGAACGGUAAGGCCCCUUCGGGGGUACACGAGUGGCGCACGGGUGAGUAACACGUGCGCAACCUGCCCUUGACUCUGGAAUAACAGUUGGAAACAGCUGCUAAUACUGGAUAUUCAUCGUCUCCUUCCUGGGGGGUGGUGGAAAGCUCCGGCGGUCAGGGAUGGGCUCGCGGCCUAUCAGCUUGUUGGUGAGGUAAUGGCUCACCAAGGCUUCGACGGGUAGCCGGCCUGAGAGGGCGACCGGCCACACUGGGACUGAGAUACGGCCCAGACUCCUACGGGAGGCAGCAGUGGGGAAUAUUGCACAAUGGGCGCAAGCCUGAUGCAGCAACGCCGCGUGCGGGAUGACGGCCUUCGGGUUGUAAACCGCUUUCAGUAGGGACGAAGGGUGACUGACGGUACCUACAGAAGAAGGACCGGCUAACUACGUG
RNAcentral lists this ribosomal RNA (465 nucleotides) under uncultured bacterium. RNAcentral's name for it is "partial 16S ribosomal RNA". It matches the Rfam family "Bacterial small subunit ribosomal RNA", at positions 28 to 507 of the family's 1533-position model. The record is from RNAcentral.